Molecule: long non-coding RNA, 699 nt
Filed under: Mytilus galloprovincialis (Mediterranean mussel)
Lineage: Eukaryota; Metazoa; Mollusca; Bivalvia; Mytilida; Mytilidae
Source: RNAcentral
UCUUAUUUUAAAAAGCAUAGAUUAUACAAAAAUUAAUAUGAAGUUAGUUAUGCAGUGUACGUGCGUACCGAAUUGGGAUACACUAAAUAUAGUUGAUUUUUUUACUUCAAACAUUUAGCCAUGACCUUUUUGAUGUAAAACCAGUUAUUACGUGGGCGUGUAAAAUGGGUCACGAAUGUUUAGUUAAAGAUUUUAUUGAAAAGAUAUAGAGAAAGUAAAUUUGACCAAAAAUUGGCGAUGAAAACAGCUUGUGGAAGUUUUUCGAGAUGUACAAAAGUUAUCGAGUGUCUACUUAAGGAAUUUGACAAUUCGUCACUUGAUAUUGCAUCAGGUUUGAAAGCCGCUUGCAAGUCAGGGAAUAUCGACGUGGUAGAACUACUUUUAAAAUACAAUAUAGAUUGCACUGAUUUGAGGUCUGCAUUAAAGGGGACAAGUAGCAAAGAAUAUAACAGAAAUGAUACAGGAAAAGCUCGCGAAAUUGGAAUCGCCAAAAUGUUGUUCUUUGAACUAAUGGUUAAGAAUUAUUUUUCAAAAAGAGUAAUGUGCAUAUUUUUCGUUGCUUGUGUUCAGAUGAAACCUUUUGGUGGGAUUGUAAAUAAUCAAUAUCGUUAAUUAUAGCUAUUUUUCGAAAUUUUCGUUUGGUCUUGCUGUCUGAUAAUUUCCUUUCUCAGUGGAGUCGAUUGAUAUGAAAACUAUCGA